UGAAGUACGUGUUAGUUUUGAUAUUGUGAAGUGAUAAAUGAUUCGUAUGAUUGAUAUUGGAUAAGAAUAUAUGGAUUAUAGUGACUGGAGUUGAUUGUUUGGAAUAUGUUGACAGGGGGAUACUCUAAUAAAUAGAGGAGACGCUGUCAAAUUAUCGAUAAGAUUUAUAGGAUAAUUGAUUGGUGAUAUGUUAUGUGGAAUAUGAUUGACUAUAUGUUAGAGUUAAAGCAUGCUUAUGUGUUACGUGGUAUCUGAUAAGUUUAAAGGGAUAUAUAAGUGGGUAUUGAUAUACGUGAGAUGUAUAUGCGAUCGAUUGUUUAGUGAUUAUAGUGUUAUCUUAUUCUCGUAAAGGAUUUGGACGAGACGUGUAUGCCCGAAGACGUUCAGAAAGUCACGUGGUGUUACAAAGCGAAUAAGGGAUGAAUCGAGUAAGCGAAGCGAAGAUGUACGGUAGAUAGAGUAUAGCCAGAGAUGGUCUAGAGACUAUGAGAUGCAUAGAUUGUGAAAGUGGAAAGAUGAGAUUGAGAUGUGAGACUGGAGUCAGAUUUAAGGCAAGUAUCCUGCACCCUGCUUUUGGAUAUAUUGCAAAUAUUCUGAUUCAUUCUUUUGAUGUGUUGCAAGUAUCCUAAACCCUUCUUUUGGAUAUAUUGCAUGUUCUGAUCCAUUCCUUUGGUAUAUGUUUCAGUUAUUAAAGUUUAAAUGUUCUCUUGAAAUUCUCCUAUUAUGGCUUUCAAGUUUGAAAUUCAGGUUUUGAAAUCAUUCGAUUUAUGUUCUCAUUCAAAUAUUUUAUUAAAUGUUUUCAGGUUUUAAAUUCUCUGAUUUUAUUAUCUUUUGAAAAAAAAAAAAAAUUUACAGGUUUUCGAAAGUGUUUAAAAAUGGUUUUUGUGUGGUGACGUCAGAAUCCAGGCCCCCGGAUUCUCGGACUGUCACAUCUGAGUCGAGCAAGGCAGAGGAAACACCUACUCCUCAGGCUACCGCCCUUGGACCAGAUGAGGGGAACCCUCCUAGCCCUCAGCCGGAAGCUGAGGCAUUAAUUGAAUUGGUGGAACCCCCAAUUGUCCUCCUAGCUUGCGAAAACCUUGAUUCUAUUAUGACACCUGUCAGGCUGCAGUCACUUCUCGAGUCUUGCAACCGUGGUUGUACUCUUGUCAUUCCACAGCCCGGGGAGAGACGUCACUGCUUUGAUAGCCUCAGACUUGAGACGGCCAUUCCCAACGUCGUAAUGUCGUCCCAGUUUUUUAAGCUAGGGAUAUCGUUGCCCCUUCACCCCUUCAUCCUGAAGAUAAUGGACUUUUUUUUUAUUUAAGCAAGAAACAUUUAUUUUAAACUCACCCAAACGGUCCCUAAAUCAAUUUCAGACUUAUUUGUAAUUUUAAACCGAUUCUACUUAUAUAUAUAAUAGCUCAACACGUUCGUGUCAAGCCUCCCUGUGAUAGUCCAAUUCAAUAAUUCUUUGGAAAGAUUGAAUUUCUCAGUUUAAAUGCUGCAAGGUAUUGUAAAUCAUUCUAUACAAUACCAUGAACUCAUGAACUCAGGUUGAAUCCUCUUAUAUCUUGAACUCGUGAACUUCUAUUAUAUCAUUUCAGAACUAUCAUUGUUUAUUACUACUUGCUGAGCAUUGUUGCUCACUCUUGCUAUUCUCUUUUAACCAUUUCAGAAAGGCUUAAAGAUGAGUGGCUAGACUGUGAUGGUGAAUAAGGCUAAUGCUAGGCGAGGAGACAGAGUUGAGGAUCCAGUGAUCGAGGAGUGUUCAGGGAAGUUGAUGAGGUUGGUGCAAGCUGGAAUAGUUGACAGUGAUUCUUCUUAUUGAGGAUGAUCUGAUUUGGUAAGAGAUGUUGUGUAAUAAUAGUGGUAGAUUCUAAUUUCAAUACUGUAACCUGGAUGCGAUCCUGUUGCUUUUAGGGGGUUUAAAUGUUCUCCUUCGAAUCAGUUAUUAAAGUUUAAAUGUUCUCUUGAAAUUCUCCUAUUAUGGCUUUCAAGUUUGAAAUUCAGGUUUUGAAAUCAUUCGAUUUAUGUUCUCAUUCAAAUAUUUUAUUAAAUGUUUUCAGGUUUUAAAUUCUCUGAUUUUAUUAUCUUUUGAAAAAAAAAAAAAAUUUACAGGUUUUCGAAAGUGUUUAAAAAUGGUUUUUGUGUGGUGACGUCAGAAUCCAGGCCCC
This 2156-nucleotide long non-coding RNA is filed under the name Daucus carota (carrot). Its description in RNAcentral is "long non-coding RNA (DCAR_LNC006752)". The record is from RNAcentral. Lineage: Eukaryota; Viridiplantae; Streptophyta; Magnoliopsida; Apiales; Apiaceae.